GCGAGCAUCUGCCAGGAUGUUUUCAUUAAUCAAGAACGAAAGUUAGGGGAUCGAAGACGAUCAGAUACCGUCGUAGUCUUAACCAUAAACGAUGCCGACCAGCGAUUAGGAGACGUUGAAUACAAAACACCACCAUCGGCGCGGUCGUCCUUGGCGUCUCGGUCCUUCACGGGGCCGGGGCGCGGGGGCGGCUUAGGCCGGUGGCACCGGUGAAUGACUCCCCU
Molecule: ribosomal RNA, 224 nt
Filed under: Acanthamoeba genotype T4
Lineage: Eukaryota; Discosea; Longamoebia; Acanthamoebidae
Description: partial 18S ribosomal RNA
Rfam family: Eukaryotic small subunit ribosomal RNA (bases 1-166)
Source: RNAcentral